This 249-nucleotide ribosomal RNA is filed under the name uncultured prokaryote. RNAcentral describes it as "partial 16S ribosomal RNA". It matches the Rfam family "Bacterial small subunit ribosomal RNA", at positions 524 to 772 of the family's 1533-position model. The record is from RNAcentral.
UACGGAGGAUGCAAGCGUUAUCCGGAUUUAUUGGGUUUAAAGGGUGCGCAGGUUGUUUGAUAAGUCAGUGGUGAAAGUCUGUCGCUUAACGGUAGGAUUGCCAUUGAUACUGUUGGACUUGAAUAUGGAUGAGGUAGGCGGAAUGUGUAGUGCAGCGGUGAAAUGCAUAGAUAUUACACAGAACACCGAUUGCGAAGGCAGCUUACUAAUCCAUCAUUGACGCUGAGGCACGAAAGCGUGGGGAUCAAA